GCUGGUUCUCCCCGAAAUAGCUUUAGGGCUAGCCUCAGGUGGUGAUUACAGGCGGUAGAGCACUGAUCAGGAGAGGGACCUACCCGGUUACCAAACCCAGUCAAACUCCGAAUGGCUGUAAUCAAACCUGGGAGUCAGACUACGACUUAUAAGGGCCGUGGUCAAGAGGGAAACAGCCCAGAUCAUCAGCUAAGGUCCCAAAUGCCGUGCUAAGUGGCGAAGGAUGUGGCGUUUCAUAAACAACCAGGAUGUUGGCUCAGAAGCAGCCACCAUUCAAAGAGUGCGUAAUAGCUCACUGGUCGAGAGACGCUGCGCCGAAGAUGUCCGGGGCUCAAGCACGGAACCGAAGCUAUGGCAGAUUGCUUGCAAUCUGGGUAGGGGAGCGUUCUUAUCACGGAGAAGCGGUACCGGAAGGAGCCGUGGAGAGGUAAGAAGUGAGAAUGCUGGUAUGAGUAUCGAAAAGGCUGGUGAGAAUCCAGCCCACCGAAAGCCCGAGGGUUCCUGAGCAACGAUCGUCGUCUCAGGGUAAGUCGGGACCUAAGCCGAGGCAAAGACGCAUAGGCGAUGGAGAACAGGUUGAAAUUCCUGUACCGGAGCAGUCCGUCUGAGCGAUGGAGUGACGCAGCAGGGCACACGAGCAUGCGGCUGGAAGAGCAUGUCCAAGCCCGUAGCCCGUAUGGCAGGGAAAUCCGCCAUGCAAAAGGGUGAGAGGUGACGGGGAGUUAAAGGAAACUUUGACGAACUCGUGAAUCCCACACUGCCAAGAAAAGCUUCUAGCGAGGACUGAUCCGCCCGUACCGUAAACCGACACAGGUAGGCGGGGAGAGAAUCCUAAGGUGCGCGGGAAAACCCUCGUUAAGGAACUCGGCAAAUUGCAUCCGUAACUUCGGAAGAAGGAUGGCCCUGAGUAGGCGAAGAGUCUUGCACUUGGAACCGGAAAGGGCGGCAGAAAAGAGGCCCAAGCAACUGUUUACCAAAAACACAGGUGCCUGCGAAAGCGAAAGCUGACGUAUAGGUGCUGACGCCUGCCCGGUGCUGGAAGGUUAAGGAGAGAGGUUAGCGCAAGCGAAGCUUUGAACUGAAGCCCCAGUGAACGGCGGCCGUAACUAUAACGGUCCUAAGGUAGCGAAAUUCCUUGUCGGGUAAGUUCCGACCCGCAUGAAAGGCGUAAUGAUUUGGGCACUGUCUCAACGAGGGGCCCGGUGAAAUUGAAAUACCUGUGAAGAUGCAGGUUACCCGCGACUGGACAGAAAGACCCCAUGGAGCUUUACUGCAGCUUGAGACGGAAUCUCGGAAGUAGACGCACAGGAUAGGUGGGAGGCUUUGAAACAUACACUUAGGUGGAUGUGGAGCCGCUGUUGGGAUACCACCCUUCUAGUUCUGGGAUUCUAACGCGAGGAGUAACGACCCUGCGGACAAUCUCAGGCAGGCGGUUUGACUGGGGCGGUCGCCUCCGAAAGAGUAACGGAGGCGCCCAAAGGUUCCCUCAGGCCGGACAGAAACCGGCCGGCGAGUGCAAAGGCAGAAGGGAGCUUGACUGCGAGACCGACAAGUCGAGCAGAGACGAAAGUCGGGCUUAGUGAUCCGGUGGCCCUGCGUGGAAAGGCCAUCGCUCAACGGAUAAAAGCUACCCUGGGGAUAACAGGCUAAUCUCUCCCAAGAGUUCAUAUCGACGGGGAGGUUUGGCACCUCGAUGUCGGCUCAUCACAUCCUGGGGCUGGAGUAGGUCCCAAGGGUUGGGCUGUUCGCCCAUUAAAGUGGUACGCGAGCUGGGUUCAAAACGUCGUGAGACAGUUUGGUUCAUAUCCAUCGCGGGCGUAAGAAGUUUGAGGGGAGCUGCUCCUAGUACGAGAGGACCGGAGUGGACGGAUCAACGGUGUACCAGUUGUCACGCCAGUGGCACGGCUGGAAAGCCGCAUCCGGAAGGGAUAAACGCUGAAAGCAUCUAAGCGUGAAGCCCACCCCGAGAUGAGACUUCU
RNAcentral lists this ribosomal RNA (1979 nucleotides) under human gut metagenome. RNAcentral's name for it is "bacterial LSU rRNA". It matches the Rfam family "Bacterial large subunit ribosomal RNA", at positions 848 to 2814 of the family's 2925-position model. The record is from RNAcentral.